CAUGAGCUUAUGGUAACAUUGUAAACAGUGACUCGUGUAGUGUAGAGAUUGUCCAGUCAACUGAUGGUAGCGUGGACUGUCCAGGCGAUACGUACUUAGGUAUCGUCAUGAGCUAAUGGUAACAUGUAAACAGUGACUCGUGUAGUGUAGAGAUUGUCCAGUCAACUGAUGGUAGCGUGGACUGUCCAGGCGAUACGUACUUAGGUAUCGUCAUGAGCUAAUGGUAACAUGUAAACAGUGACUCGUGUAGUGUAGAGAUUGUCCAGUCAACUGAUGGUAGCGUGGACUGUCCAGGCGAUACGUACUUAGGUAUCGUCAUGAGCUAAUGGUAACAUGUAAACAGUGACUCGUGUAGUGUAGAGAUUGUCCAGUCAACUGAUGGUAGCGUGGACUGUCCAGGCGAUACGUACUUAGGUAUCGUCAUGAGCUAAUGGUAACAUGUAAACAGUGACUCGUGUAGUGUAGAGAUUGUCCAGUCAACUGAUGGUAGCGUGGACUGUCCAGGCGAUACGUACUUAGGUAUCGUCAUGAGCUAAUGGUAACAUGUAAACAGUGACUCGUGUAGUGUAGAGAUUGUCCAG
Spodoptera frugiperda (fall armyworm) is the source of this 581-nucleotide long non-coding RNA. RefSeq lists it as uncharacterized. Lineage: Eukaryota; Metazoa; Arthropoda; Insecta; Lepidoptera; Noctuidae. The record is from RefSeq and is a predicted model, not a curated record. The transcript has 2 exons.